RNAcentral lists this ribosomal RNA (165 nucleotides) under Armillaria mellea. Its description in RNAcentral is "5.8S ribosomal RNA". It matches the Rfam family "5.8S ribosomal RNA". From Rfam's summary of the family: 5.8S ribosomal RNA (5.8S rRNA) is a component of the large subunit of the eukaryotic ribosome. It is transcribed by RNA polymerase I as part of the 45S precursor that also contains 18S and 28S rRNA. Lineage: Eukaryota; Fungi; Basidiomycota; Agaricomycetes; Agaricales; Physalacriaceae. The record is from RNAcentral.
GUUAUACAACUUUCAACAACGGAUCUCUUGGCUCUCGCAUCGAUGAAGAACGCAGCGAAAUGCGAUAACUAAUGCGAAUUGCAGAAUUCAGUGAAUCAUCGAGUCUUUGAACGCACCUUGCGCCCUUUGGUAUUCCAAAGGGCAUGCCUGUUUGAGUGUCAUUAA